Molecule: long non-coding RNA, 349 nt
Organism: Perca fluviatilis (European perch)
Lineage: Eukaryota; Metazoa; Chordata; Actinopteri; Perciformes; Percidae
Exons: 3
Source: RefSeq, a predicted model, not a curated record
UGGCAGGGUCGAAUCGAUGUCUAUCGGUGAAAAUCAAUUAGCAGGAAUAUUUUUCCCCACCUGGAUACAACCUUAAUAGAAGAAUCCAUGAGGAACCUGGGGAUGUGUUUAAAAAAUAGCGGCCUAGGAGGAGCAUUAUGAUUCACUUAUCCAAAUGUAAAUGAGAAGCCAUGGACGUCUGCUCCUUUGGGAAUCUCCACCCCUUUGAAAAGAAAAUAGAGGUUAAAAAUCUGCUAAACGAGUUAGCAGCAACCAGGAUCCCUCUCUUCCACAGGCCUGGGACCAGUGUUGAACCUGGCCACUGAAAUAACUUGUCGACCAAAGUAUGGUGGUGGACUGGUAGCUGGAG